UACGGAGGGUGCAAGCGUUAUCCGGAUUCACUGGGUUUAAAGGGUGCGUAGGUGGGUCUGUAAGUCAGUGGUGAAAUCUCCAAGCUUAACUUGGAAACUGCCGUUGAUACUAUAGACCUUGAAUGCUGUGGAGGUGAGCGGAAUAUGUCAUGUAGCGGUGAAAUGCUUAGAUAUGACAUAGAACACCAAUUGUGAAGGCAGCUCACUACCCAGAUAUUGACACUGAGGCACGAAAGCGUGGGGAUCAAACAGG
RNAcentral lists this ribosomal RNA (253 nucleotides) under uncultured bacterium. RNAcentral describes it as "partial 16S ribosomal RNA". It matches the Rfam family "Bacterial small subunit ribosomal RNA", at positions 524 to 776 of the family's 1533-position model. The record is from RNAcentral.